RNAcentral lists this microRNA precursor (87 nucleotides) under Pelobates cultripes (western spadefoot toad). The record is from RNAcentral. Lineage: Eukaryota; Metazoa; Chordata; Amphibia; Anura; Pelobatidae.
CCUCCCACCUCCUGGACAGCUCACUAAGAAUGCAGCUUCAUCCAUUUUGAAGCUGCAUUCUUAGUGAGCUGUCCAGGAGGUGGGAGG